GAUGAACGCUGGCGGCGUGCCUAAUACAUGCAAGUCGAGCGAACGGACGAGAAGCUUGCUUUUCUGAUGUUAGCGGCGGACGGGUGAGUAACACGUGGAUAACCUACCUAUAAGACUGGGAUAACUUCGGGAAACCGGAGCUAAUACCGGAUAAUAUUUUGAACCGCAUGGUUCAAAAGUGAAAGACGGUCUUGCUGUCACUUAUAGAUGGAUCCGCGCUGCAUUAGCUAGUUGGUAAGGUAACGGCUUACCAAGGCAACGAUGCAUAGCCGACCUGAGAGGGUGAUCGGCCACCCUGGAACUGAGACCCGGUCCAGGCUCCUACGGGAGGCAGCAGUAGGGAAUCUUCCGCAAUGGGCGAAAGCCUGACGGAGCAACGCCGCGUGAGUGAUGAAGGUCUUCGGAUCGUAAAACUCUGUUAUUAGGGAAGAACAUAUGUGUAAGUAACUGUGCACAUCUUGACGGUACCUAAUCAGAAAGCCACGGCUAACUACGUG
Molecule: ribosomal RNA, 497 nt
Filed under: uncultured bacterium
Lineage: Bacteria
Description: partial 16S ribosomal RNA
Rfam family: Bacterial small subunit ribosomal RNA
Source: RNAcentral